RNAcentral lists this ribosomal RNA (460 nucleotides) under uncultured bacterium. RNAcentral describes it as "partial 16S ribosomal RNA". It matches the Rfam family "Bacterial small subunit ribosomal RNA", at positions 338 to 795 of the family's 1533-position model. The record is from RNAcentral.
CCUACGGGUGGCAGCAGUGAGGAAUAUUGGUCAAUGGGCGUAAGCCUGAACCAGCCAAGUCGCGUGAGGGAUGAAGGUUCUAUGGAUCGUAAACCUCUUUUAUAAGGGAAUAAAGUGCGGGACGUGUCCCGUUUUGUAUGUACCUUAUGAAUAAGGAUCGGCUAACUCCGUGCCAGCAGCCGCGGUAAUACGGAGGAUCCGAGCGUUAUCCGGAUUUAUUGGGGUUAAAGGGUGCGUAGGCGGCCUUUUAAUUCAGCGGGGAAAGUCUUUGGCUCAACCAUAGAAUUGCCGUUGAAACUGGGAGGCUUGAGGAUGUUUGAGGCAGGCGGAAUGCGUGGUGUAGCGGUGAAAUGCUUAGAUAUCACGCAGAACCCCGAUUGCGAAGGCAGCCUGCCAAGCCAUGACUGACGCUGAUGCACGAAAGCGUGGGGAUCAAACAGGAUUAGAUACCCCAGUAGUC